UCAAACCAACAAAAUAGAAAAAAAAAAAUCAACAAUGGAUUUUACAAAGAUGCUACAAAGAAUCAACAACAAAAAAAUAUGUGGAUGUAAUCAGGAAGCACUUAUCUCCUCACUAGAAACCAGAACCGGUGCGUAGAUCCGCCGUCGAAGUGUGUGGUUUCCUCACCGGCGAGCUUUUCUCCAUCGCAAUUUCACGAUUCCACA
This 204-nucleotide long non-coding RNA is filed under the name Eutrema salsugineum. RNAcentral's name for it is "long non-coding RNA (ESAL_LNC000116)". The record is from RNAcentral. Lineage: Eukaryota; Viridiplantae; Streptophyta; Magnoliopsida; Brassicales; Brassicaceae.